Molecule: long non-coding RNA, 763 nt
Organism: Panicum virgatum (switchgrass)
Lineage: Eukaryota; Viridiplantae; Streptophyta; Magnoliopsida; Poales; Poaceae
Exons: 4
Source: RefSeq, a predicted model, not a curated record
ACUAGGUUAAAUGGGAAGGCCUCCAUAUUUGAUCCAAAUUGUUUCUUCCCCUUUCACAUACAGGGCAGCAAGGACAUUGUGCGCCCUCCAGUUUGGUCAAAUUAGCAUUUUGUCUUAUGGAAUUCUCAAUGAUUUCGAUGCAGUGCAGUUCUUUCUUUCUGAUUGUUCAAUCUUGCUGUUCAAAACUAAUGUACUGUUAUAGUAAGAUGACAAAGAACCUUAAUGGUAUUCCUAAGUUUUAUGUCCACAUGGUGAUUGCAUUGAUUAAAUGAAAGUAAGGUUGAUUGUAUGAGAAUAAAAUUCAUAGUGUCCUUCUAUUCCAUUCUAAAUACAAGCCCAAUCUCAGCUCUCUAUCACCUCGGUGUUAUGAUCUUGGGCUUAGCGUUCUUCAAAGAUUUUGUUCCUCAGAGGCCACAAGUGGAGAGGGGAAGAAGCUUCCAGUUGACUGAGGAAGAUUUGUUUCGUGCUUCCCGAGCUGUGCUUCAUGCGACACGCACGUGUAUAAAAAAUAUUUAUAAUAUAAAAAUUAUAAUCAGUUUUGAUAAGACCCAUUUUGUAUUGCGUGCUACAGCCCUUGACAAAGCAACAUACAGUUGUCCAGGGCAUCUCUCUGACAUUUCCUCGUCUGGUGUGAUUAUGGGAUGAUAAAAGCCCAGAACAGGCGACCACUUCUGAGCAAGUUGCUGACAUGUACCGUGCUCAAAAAAUCAACCAUGGUUAUAACCAGGAGGAUGAGGACCUAUGCCGGUUCACUGGAUUGCCU